Molecule: ribosomal RNA, 201 nt
Filed under: uncultured bacterium
Lineage: Bacteria
Description: partial 16S ribosomal RNA
Rfam family: Bacterial small subunit ribosomal RNA
Source: RNAcentral
ACGCUCGACACCUACGGGGGGCAGCAGUCGGGAAUAUUGCGCAAUGGAGGAAACUCUGACGCAGUGACGCCGCGUGCAGGAAGAAGGUUUUCGGAUUGUAAACUGCUUUAGACAGGGAAGAAAGAAAUGACAGUACCUGUAGAAUAAGCUCCGGCUAACUACGUGCCAUCAGCCGCGGUAAUCUGAGCGGGCUGGCAAGGC